ACUCUAUUGAGGCCCCGUAAUUGGAAUGAGUACAAUUUAAAUCCUUUAACGAGGAUCUAUUGGAGGGCAAGUCUGGUGCCAGCAGCCGCGGUAAUUCCAGCUCCAAUAGCGUAUAUUAAAGUUGCUGCGGUUAAAAAGCUCGUAGUUGGAUUUCAGUCGAACCUAUGGGGUCCACUGAUUAAAGGGUUAGAUGGUGAUGUUAGGUUUCUUGCUUGUGUCUACGGAUGCUAGCUUGAACCUUCAUUCCUCUUUCCUGGUGGUUACAUUCAUAGUGUUUAGACAGAAAAUUGCUCGAUAUUUGCUAUCAAUGCUCUUUACCGAGUGUUGAUUCAAGCGAUCGAGACUUUUACCUUGAAAAAAUCAGAGUGCUCAAAGCAGGCGUCCAAAACCUCGAAAGAGGUGCCUAAAAACGGUAUGGUCAACCAUCUAUAUGAUGCGUACCACUACCUUAACUUGAAUGAUCUUGCAUGGAAUAAUGGAAUAGGACCUUGGUUCUAUUUUGUUGGUCUUAAGAAUCCAAGGUAAUGAUUAAGAGGGACAGACGGGGGCAUUUGUAUUGCGGCGCUAGAGGUGAAAUUCUUGGACCGUCGCAAGACAAACUACAGCGAAAGCAUUUGCCAAGAAUGUUUUCAUUAAUCAAGAACGAAAGUUAGAGGUUCGAAGGCGAUCAGAUACCGCCCUAGUUCUAACCAUAAACGAUGCCAACCAGCGAUCAUUCUGAGUAACUAAUUUCAUGACUCGAAUGGAAGCUUCCGGGAAACCAAAGUUUUUGGGUUCCGGGGGAAGUAUGGUUGCAAAGCUGAAACUUAAAGGAAUUGACGGAAGGGCACCACCAGGAGUGGAGCUUGCGGCUUAAUUUGACUCAACACGGGAAAACUCACCCGGCCCGGACACUGAGAGGAUUGACAGAUUGAGAGCUCUUUCUUGAUUCAGUGGGUGGUGGUGCAUGGCCGUUCUUAGUUGGUGGAGUGAUUUGUCUGGUUAAUUCCGAUAACGAACGAGACUCUAGCCUACUAAAUAGACUUGCAGUUUACACUGCAGUACUCCCCCUUAGUCAACCUGUGGGUGGUAGUAUCUCUUGAUGGUUUCGGCUGUUGAGGGCUCUGCUGCUAUUAGCCUACAGAAUUGGCUAGGGUAAGGAUGCUGUAGCACUGUAAGGACUUCUUAGAGGGACAAGCGGCGCUCGCAGCCGCACGAAACAGAGCAAUAACAGGUCUGUGAUGCCCUUAGAUGUCCGGGGCCGCACGCGUGCUACACUGAAGUGGUCAUCGUGCAUACUGUUUCCUGCUCCGAAAGGAGUGGGUAACCGCUUGAACCCAUUUCGUGAUGGGGAUUGGGCAUUGUAAUUAUUGCCCAUGAACGAGGAAUUCCCAGUAAGCGUGAGUCAUUAGCUUGCGUUGAUUACGUCCCUGCCCUUUGUACACACCGCCCGUCGCUACUACCGAUUGAAUGAUUUAGUGAGGACUUCGGACUGGUCAAUCCAGACCAUUGGGAAACUAGUGGUCGGAUUGUGCUGGAAAGAUGUUCAAACUUGAUCAUUUAGA
RNAcentral lists this ribosomal RNA (1544 nucleotides) under Tetranychus urticae (two-spotted spider mite). RNAcentral describes it as "SSU rRNA". It matches the Rfam family "Eukaryotic small subunit ribosomal RNA", at positions 490 to 1777 of the family's 1831-position model. Lineage: Eukaryota; Metazoa; Arthropoda; Arachnida; Trombidiformes; Tetranychidae. The record is from RNAcentral.